GACGAACGCUGGCGGCGUGCUUAACACAUGCAAGUCGAACGGUGAAGGGACCGGUUUUUGCUGGUUCUGGAUGAGUGGCGAACGGGUGAGUAACACGUGAGUAACCUGCCCCCUUCUUCUGGAUACCCGCAUGAAAGUGUGGCUCCUACGGGAUAUUCUGCGCCUGCUGCAUGGUGGGUGUGGGUUCGAUAUUGUUUCGGUGGGGGAUGGGCUCGCGGCCUAUCAGCUUGUUGGUGGGGUGCUGGCCUACCAAGGCGGUGCCGGGUAGCCGGCCUGAGAGGGUAGCCGGUCUGACAGGGAGAGAGACACCGCCGAGACUCCGACAGGGGGCAGCAGUGGGGGGGAGUGAGCAGUGGGGGAAAGCGUGAUACAGCGGCGCCGCGUGAGGGAUGGAGGCCUGCGGGGUGUAAACCUCUUUCGCCAGUGAAGCAGGCCUGGCCCUUUUGUGGCGGGAUUGACGGUAGCUGGAUAAGAAGCGCCGGCUAACUACGUG
RNAcentral lists this ribosomal RNA (493 nucleotides) under uncultured bacterium. RNAcentral describes it as "partial 16S ribosomal RNA". It matches the Rfam family "Bacterial small subunit ribosomal RNA", at positions 28 to 507 of the family's 1533-position model. The record is from RNAcentral.